Molecule: ribosomal RNA, 418 nt
Filed under: Betaproteobacteria bacterium
Lineage: Bacteria; Pseudomonadati; Pseudomonadota; Betaproteobacteria
Description: bacterial SSU rRNA
Rfam family: Bacterial small subunit ribosomal RNA
Source: RNAcentral
UGAAGAGUUUGAUCCUGGCUCAGAUUGAACGCUGGCGGCAUGCCUUACACAUGCAAGUCGGACGGCAGCGCGGGGGCAACCCUGGCGGCGAGUGGCGAACGGGUGAGUAAAGCAUCGGAACGUAUCCAGGAGAGGGGGAUAACGUAGCGAAAGUUACGCUAAUACCGCAUAAACUGUGAGCAGAAAAGCAGGGGAUCGCAAGACCUUGCGCUUUUGGAGCGGCCGAUGUCGGAUUAGCUAGUUGGCGGGGUAAAAGCCCACCAAGGCGACGAUCCGUAGCGGGUCUGAGAGGACGAUCCGCCACACUGGGACUGAGACACGGCCCAGACUCCUACGGGAGGCAGCAGUGGGGAAUUUUGGACAAUGGGCGCAAGCCUGAUCCAGCCAUGCCGCGUGAGUGAAGAAGGCCUUCGGGUCG